Molecule: long non-coding RNA, 1092 nt
Organism: Syngnathoides biaculeatus (alligator pipefish)
Lineage: Eukaryota; Metazoa; Chordata; Actinopteri; Syngnathiformes; Syngnathidae
Exons: 2
Source: RefSeq, a predicted model, not a curated record
GUCCUUCCUUUAUGGCAUUUUCUAUGCUGUUGACUUUCUGUGCGAUAAUCUCGUCUUCACAAUGUCACUGAAGCGCUGUGAAAGCUUCCUCCGAAGCACCCAGGAGGAAGAGGAAGAUGAUGACGAUCAGCGAAAAAGUAAAACCUUGGUUAUGAUCAAAGACGGCAAAAGUUACACUUUUGUAGGCCGCCAUAUUUAUUCACAAUGUCAUUGAAGCGCUGUGCUGAUGUGAAUGCUCCUUCCGAAGCGCCAAACAGGAAGAGGAUGAUGAUCAGCUUUGGAUAUGAUAAAAAACGGCAGAAGUUACGCUUUUGUGGCGCACCAUUAUGGCGUGACUAAAUUCACGGGCCGCUCCAUAAAGAAGGAUGUGGCAGAGAUCUGUAAUAUCGCUUCAAUAACUUUUAAUAAGUAAUACCGCUUCAAUAACUUUUAAUAAGCAAAACGUGUAGCGACUCCACGAAAUAAGAGGAUUCUUUGAAUGGAAGCUGUGUUAGCUUUGUGGAAAGCGGAUUGCAGAAAAACAGCCUGGUGAUGAUGAAGAGGCUGAAUAAAGUGCUGACAAACCUCAAACUGCAAGGACGGAUACAGCCCUUCAAAGGGUCGCUGGAGUGCUGGAGCCGAUCACAGCUGUCAACGGGCAGGAUGCAAGCCAAUCGCAGGGCACAUGGAGACAGAAAAGUCACACUCACAAUCACACCUCGGAGUGUCCAAUUAAUGUUGCAUGUUUUUUGGGAUGUGAGAGAAAACCGGGGUGCCUGGAGAAAACCCAUGCAGACACAGGAAGAACAUGCAAACUCCACAUAGGUAGGGUAGGGAUUGAACCCGGGUCCUCAGAACUGCGAGGCUUUCCAGCUGCUCCACAGUGCCGCAUUGUCUCAAAUAUGCAAAGUAAAAAUACGUACUGUUGACAUAUUUUAAACAUUUUGGUACUCACAUACACUCACAAAAAAAAAUCUCAAAGGUAAAAUGCUCAACUAUGUACACUGCCAGGACCUCCAGCAGAAGAUUCUCCAAGUGAAGAAUGUUAAUUACAUACAGUAAAAAAAAUGUUACUGUGCUGCAUAAGGUUUUAUAAUUAGAGAUUUAACUUGA